Micropterus dolomieu (smallmouth bass) is the source of this 1261-nucleotide long non-coding RNA. RefSeq lists it as uncharacterized. The record is from RefSeq and is a predicted model, not a curated record. NCBI's taxonomy places the organism in Eukaryota, Metazoa, Chordata, Actinopteri, Centrarchiformes, Centrarchidae. The transcript is spliced from 3 exons.
CCGAGAGCUGAGCCCAGGAGAGCCCUCCACGUCAGUUGUUGCUGACACUAACUGACCCCACUCUGACCAGUCUCACAACAACGCUGCUUUCCAAGCACCAAUCGGAGUCAACCAAAAAGGAGAUGAUGAACUGGCAGAAUGUCUCUCCGCUGUCAGAGAUAGAAAGCAGAGACCGAUCCUACGUCCAGGCUCAGUGACCACAAACAACUGGAAAUGUAAGACACAAAAAAAGGACAACAGAAUAUGUGGUCAGUGUUGGACAGUAGAUGCCGUGAUGUUUUAAUCUGGAUCAAAGUGGUGGAGUGACCAACCGACAUCGGCAUCUCUGAAGCCAAGCAGCAUCUGAGUGAACACCGUGCAGAUUUCACUUCACAACAUAGUCCAAAAAAGGAGAAAAACAUGAACUAAACUGAUAAAUAAUCAGAUCUGUGUCAGUUUGUGACGAGCAUCAUCACAGCAGGUCUGUCACCACGGUGCAGGAAGUAGCCGAUGAACAAGCCUGGGCAUGUUGGCUGACCCUGCUGCACAUCUAAGGAUCCAGAGGAAUCAGAGUUGUGUGUGUGGGUGGGCCGACUGUGGAGGAGACGGUGCAGAGGUUCAUCUAUAUAGCUGUCGGUGAUUCGUCGCGUAGGUUUACGGAGGGAUGGCUGGAGGGAAGAAGAGGCAGAGGCGGGUUAAGUUACACAGCCUUAAAUCAUGUUAGCAUGUUUGGUUUUUACACGGAUGCUUCUGUGACAUCAGGUCUUAAUUUUUCAUCGGUACACACACACACACACACACACACACACACACACACACACACACACACACACACACACACACACACACACACACACACACACACACACACACUGAUGCGUUACAGGGGAGGUACUGUAGAUGAUGAGGCCAUCAGCUGUAGGAAGGUCAGAACACCUUCUGACCAACGUCCGAAUCGCUGAGAGCAGAAGUCAAAGAAGACCAUUACAAAAGUCCGUUCCAUUUUUCACAUUUUAAAACCUAUAACUUUUUGCAAUUUAAGCAUAUUUAAGUCACUUGGAUGUGGAAAAUAAAAAGUCCUAAUAGUGAAGAAGGGUUUAGCCUCACUGCAAGGUGACACCCUCAGACACCUUCAGAUAAUUUGAGGAAGAAAAAAAAAACCAAAAAGGAAUAAAAUAUUAUGUUUAAUAAGUAACAUUUGUAAUUUUAUUUUUUAAAAUGUAAACAUUUAUCCAAAUACUGGCAUAUUGUCAUUAAGAACAAAUAAAAAAAACAAAUGUGA